RNAcentral lists this long non-coding RNA (689 nucleotides) under Lactuca sativa (garden lettuce). RNAcentral describes it as "long non-coding RNA (LSAT_LNC008577)". Lineage: Eukaryota; Viridiplantae; Streptophyta; Magnoliopsida; Asterales; Asteraceae. The record is from RNAcentral.
AAAGAAGAAAACCAGGCUCUACCAAAUCAAAGACAACUUAUUUAAAAGACCAAAAGAAGAAAACCAGGCUCUACCAAAUCAAAGACAACUUAUUUAAAUUGAAUGAAGAAACUCUUUAUGAUGUGUCUGUUAGUAGGCAAACCAAAAGAAGAAAGGAAAUAUACAAAGAGGGAAUGGAAAUUCAAACAUAAGAACUUAAGCUUGAAGGUACAGAUUUACAGAUAAAUGAUUAAUCUAGUAUAUUAUCCCUAACAUUAAGAAUAGUUUCUCAUAAAGCAAUAAUCAGCCUUUGAGACUAUAUGAUACACAAACUACUGUUAAUAAACUUGAAUUCCACUUCUUCGGACAUUGAAUGUCCGUGAGUCAUGUGAUUGUAGAUCAACCUAACCAUAGACAAGCAGAAACAAAAAUUAUAGUUUUUCAACGAAGAAAAAACGAUUAUACACAAACUACCAGUUGAUAAUCAGAGGAAUUGAAUUAGGCGAAAACUUACCAAAGAAAACGAAAUUGGUACCAAAUUCUGGAAAAAGGAGUUGCUAGCGGUAUUGGAUAAUUGGUGGCGAGCAACCGGUAAACUGUAGUAAUUGUAGGGUUCGGCGUAAGUUUGCAGUAACUUGAGUUUUGGACUUAUAAAUUGGGCUUACUUUAUAUUACGAUGUUAUGGGUUCACAUUAUAUGACCUUUUCCUU